GACGAACGCUGGCGGCGUGCUUAACACAUGCAAGUCGAACGGAAAGGCCCUGCGUUUGUGGGGUGCUCGGGUGGCGAACGGGUGAGUAACACGUGAGUAACCUGCCCUUGACUUUGGGGUAACUUCAGGAAACUGGGGCUAAUACCGGAUAGGAUCUCCUGCUGCAUGGUGGGGGUUGGAAAGUUUCGGCGGUUGGGGCUGGACUCGCGGCUUAUCAGCUUGUUGGUGGGGUAGUGGCUUACCAAGGCUUUGACGGGUAGCCGGCCUGAGAGGGUGACCGGCCACAUUGGGACUGAGAUACGGCCCAGACUCCUACGGGAGGCAGCAGUGGGGAGUAUUGCACAGUGGGCGGACGCCUGAUGCGGCAACGCCGCGUGCGGGAAGACGGCCUUCGGGUUGUAAACCGCUUUCGCCUGUGACGAAGCGUGAGUGACGGUAAUGGGUAAAGAAGCACCGGCUAACUACGUG
RNAcentral lists this ribosomal RNA (468 nucleotides) under uncultured bacterium. Its description in RNAcentral is "partial 16S ribosomal RNA". It matches the Rfam family "Bacterial small subunit ribosomal RNA", at positions 28 to 507 of the family's 1533-position model. The record is from RNAcentral.